This 505-nucleotide ribosomal RNA is filed under the name uncultured bacterium. RNAcentral's name for it is "partial 16S ribosomal RNA". It matches the Rfam family "Bacterial small subunit ribosomal RNA", at positions 32 to 523 of the family's 1533-position model. The record is from RNAcentral.
AAUCAACGCUGGCGGCGUGCCUAACACAUGCAAGUCGAACGAGAAAGUGGGGGCAACUCCAUGAGUAAAGUGGCAGACGGGUGAGUAACACGUGAACAACCUACCCUUGAGUGUGGAAUAACACCGCGAAAGCGGUGCUAAUACCGCAUAACAUCUUCGGGUCGCAUGAUCUGGAGAUCAAAAACGCAAGUUGCUUGAGGAGGGGUUCGCGCCUGAUUAGCUAGUAGGUGAGGUAACGGCCCACCAAGGCUUCGAUCAGUAGCCGGUCUGAGAAGAUGAUCAGUCACACCGGAACUGAGACACGGUCCGGACGCCUACGGGAGGCAGCAGUGGGGAAUAUUGGACAAUGGGCGCAAGCCUGAUCCAGCAAUGCCGCGUGUGUGAAGAAGGCCUUCGGGUUGUAAAGCACUUUAGCCUGGAAAGAAAAAACUUUGGUUAACACCCAAAGUCUUGACGGUACCAGGAGAAUAAGCACCGGCUAACUCUGUGCCAGCAGCCGCAGUAA